UUUGGAAUGAGGGUGUGAGCGACUGCAAAUUCCCAUCCUCCUUCUCAUCCCAGCCUGGUAGUAACACACAUUCUACGCCUAGCCUGGCUUUCUUACUCUCCCUCAUCUCAUUGUUUCAGAGGCCAAAUCCGAAGUUCUUUCCAGGGAGUGGCUCUGUUCACCUCAUUCUCCAGCCAAAGUAAGAACAGCAUAGGAGGAGAGAGACACAUUGAGCAGCCAAAGGAGUCGGCGGGAAGAGCAGAACACCAUAGACAAUAUGCUGCUUUUGGGAUCCAAGGUGCUGCUGUUUCUUGCUGCAUUCAUCAUCCCCUCUGAUUGGAUACUCCUGGGGGUCAACAGCCAACGAGGAGACGAUGUGACUCCAGUGACUCCAGAAACUUUCACAGAAGAUCCUAAUCUGGUGAAUGAUCCCGCUACAGAUGAAACAGGUAAGAUUUACUGU
Long non-coding RNA from Sapajus apella (tufted capuchin), 442 nucleotides. RefSeq lists it as uncharacterized. NCBI's taxonomy places the organism in Eukaryota, Metazoa, Chordata, Mammalia, Primates, Cebidae. The record is from RefSeq and is a predicted model, not a curated record. The transcript is spliced from 5 exons.